This 513-nucleotide ribosomal RNA is filed under the name uncultured bacterium. Its description in RNAcentral is "partial 16S ribosomal RNA". It matches the Rfam family "Bacterial small subunit ribosomal RNA", at positions 28 to 523 of the family's 1533-position model. The record is from RNAcentral.
GAUGAACGCUGGCGGCGUGCCUAAUACAUGCAAGUCGAGCGAACAGAUGAGAAGCUUGCUUCUCUGAUGUUAGCGGCGGACGGGUGAGUAACACGUGGGUAACCUACCUAUAAGACUGGGAUAACUCCGGGAAACCGGGGCUAAUACCGGACAAUAUUUUGAACCGCAUGGGUCGAUAGUGAAAGACGGUUUCGGCUGUCACUUACAGAUGGACCCGCGCCGUAUUAGCUAGUUGGUAAGGUAACGGCUUACCAAGGCGACGAUACGUAGCCGACCUGAGAGGGUGAUCGGCCACACUGGAACUGAGACACGGUCCAGACUCCUACGGGAGGCAGCAGUAGGGAAUCUUCCGCAAUGGCGAAAGCCUGACGGAGCAACGCCGCGUGAGUGAUGAAGGUCUUCGGAUCGUAAAACUCUGUUGUUAGGGAAGAACAAAUUUGUUAGUAACUGAACAAGUCUUGACGGUACCUAACCAGAAAGCCACGGCUAACUACGUGCCAGCAGCCGCGGUAA